RNAcentral lists this ribosomal RNA (253 nucleotides) under uncultured bacterium. Its description in RNAcentral is "partial 16S ribosomal RNA". It matches the Rfam family "Bacterial small subunit ribosomal RNA", at positions 524 to 776 of the family's 1533-position model. The record is from RNAcentral.
UACGUAGGGGGCAAGCGUUGUCCGGAUUUAUUGGGCGUAAAGAGCGUGUAGGCGGCCAAGCAGGUCCGCUGUGAAAACUCGAGGCUCAACCUCGAGACGUCGGUUGAAACCACCUGGCUAGAGUCCGGAAGAGGAGAGUGGAAUUCCUGGUGUAGCGGUGAAAUGCGCAGAUAUCAGGAAAAACACCCGUGGCGAAGGCGGCUCUCUGGGACGGUACUGACGCUGAGACGCGAAAGCGUGGGGAGCGAACAGG